AGUAAAUGAUAUCCUUAAAUAUUGCAACUGAGGAGCAGUUGUAUUUUGAUUCAAGCAUAAGUGUGCAAUUUAAUUAUCCUUUGAGUGAUUUGUAAUAACUUCAAAAUAUCAAAUUAUUUGAAUGGCUUAGCAACAAUAUUUUGUUGAUAAUUGCCUGAAGCUCUGAAAAAUAAAAGUGAUUUAAAUACUGUAUAAAAUAAUAUUAAUGAUCACUUCUGGAUGGGGUUGUGUUUGGAGCAGAGAAAACUAAAAGCCACAGGGUAGUGUGUCUCCUGACCAGAGCUGUGGCCACAUGAGUGUCACAGGGUGUCACCUGCCAUGCUUAAAAUAAGCUUUACCAUUCCAAUGCCGAUCUCACAUCAUCUGAGAGAUCUAACAGUCCUCACAAUUCAUGCAGAUUUAAUUAAUUAUAUUGAUUGAAUGUUGAUUUAUAUCAUCAUUUUAAUUUUGUAGGUAUUUUGAUCAAAUCCAUAUAGUAUUAGGAACUAUGAAGUCAGUACAGCGAUGGCAUUAUGUUGCCACAAUGAGAACCCCUGGUAUGAAAAUGAAUUGCAUAAUGUUGUGGAGAGAAAUAUUUAAGUUUCUUACAGUCUGGGUAAUUCUUCUGAUAUUUUAUUCAAAAAUGUAUAUUUAGUUUUAUGUUUAUGACUACUGAUUUUCUUAAUUAAGAAUUGUAUUUUGCAUUGUUUUGAUCUUUAUUCUGUAUAUUUUUGUCAGAAAAACACAGAUUUACAGAAUGUAGUUCAGGUGACUUGAAUAUUUGUGGUACGGAUUAUUCACCGAGUCCCAAUCAAUGUCUUUCUUAUGUAUGGUAAAUAAACAUUUGAUAAAAAUGUUAGUUUCCCUCUUGUUUAACCUGCAGUAUUUUCAUGUUAAGAGGGUGGGUUAAAAUCUUAUCCUUAUUUUUCAAAUCCUGACCAAGAAAAAUGCCAUUUGGCCUUCUAAUUUGUAAUUCCAAAUCAGAAAGCCAAAGUUUUUCAACAGCUAUUAUUUCUCAAAGUCGCCGUUCUGAGACAUCAUUUUAACAUGUCUUUGUGUAUGGUUUUGUUUUUGUUGAUUUGAGUAUUACAGCGAUGGCACUUCUUUUUUGCACCUCAUGGGUAUUGGGGUUUAAAGUAUCAGGCUGUUUGAUUUUUUUUCAUUUACAUAUCAGAAUAAUGAACUAUAGAUUACUAUAAAAUCCAUUUUUCUUACCUCAAACAGUUGAGGUUGAGUGAACAAUCUCUGGUGGAAAAUAAAACUUUUGACACAGAAAACAGAGCUCUUGGUAGUAAUGUAUGUAAACAAAAUUUUGCUUUCAAGUGCACCAUCACAUGUUAGCUAGUCUGAUAUAGUCUGUUAUGUUUUGAUCAUUUCCAACUAUUAUCAUUUUUUUUCAAAUAAAUAAAUAAUAAUAAUCAUUAAAAAAUAAGAAAUAACACCACCAGAGGUUAGAGAUGUAAGUGUGGGUCUACAGCCUAAGCAAAAAACACCAAAGCUCUUAUAAUUAUAACUUAUAAUUACAUGUUCACAUAUUCACAAUGCUUGACUGAAGUGUAAUUCCAUGACUUGGGUGCUAUUGUAAGUGAUCAAAAUUAAACAUUAUUUUUGCAUUAACAUUGUUUUUCAACAAUGUAUCUAAGAAAACAUGCAUUUAUUGACCCAUCUUA
Ictalurus punctatus (channel catfish) is the source of this 1649-nucleotide long non-coding RNA. Lineage: Eukaryota; Metazoa; Chordata; Actinopteri; Siluriformes; Ictaluridae. The record is from Ensembl.